GGCGAACGCUGGCGGCAGGCUUAACACAUGCAAGUCGAACGCCCCGCAAGGGGAGUGGCAGACGGGUGAGUAACACGUGGGAACGUACCCUUUGGUUAGGAAUAACUUGGGGAAACUCAAGCUAAUACCGGAUAAGCCCUUAUGGGGAAAGGUUUACUGCCGAAGGAUCGGCCCGCGUCUGAUUAGCUAGUUGGUGAGGUAAUGGCUCACCAAGGCGACGAUCAGUAGCUGGUCUGAGAGGAUGAUCAGCCACACUGGGACUGAGACACGGCCCAGACUCCUACGGGAGGCAGCAGUGGGGAAUAUUGGACAAUGGGGGCAACCCUGAUCCAGCCAUGCCGCGUGAGUGAUGAAGGCCUUAGGGUUGUAAAGCUCUUUUACCCGGGACGAUAAUGACUGUACCGGGAGAAUAAGCCCCGGCUAACUUCGUGCCAGCCGCCGCUGUAA
This 447-nucleotide ribosomal RNA is filed under the name uncultured bacterium. RNAcentral's name for it is "partial 16S ribosomal RNA". It matches the Rfam family "Bacterial small subunit ribosomal RNA", at positions 28 to 523 of the family's 1533-position model. The record is from RNAcentral.